UAAAUCUCAAUGUUUUGAUACUUGUUUCUUCCUUCAUCUCUACAAAUCUCAAUCCUGGUCUCGGUUACCCUAUAAUUGGUGUUAUUCAUUUGGUACAGAUUGCACAAGCUUGCAAGCCUCUGAUACAGCGAGCUGGAUUCUGGGGAUCGAUUAUGACACUUGCUCGGGGUUAUGAGAUAGUAAUGGGAUUGCUUUUGUUCACGCCAGUAGCCUUCCUGGCUUGGUUCCCGUUUGUAUCAGAAUUCCAGACACGAAUGCUCUUCAACCAAGCAUUCAGCAGAGGUUUGCAGAUAUCGCGUAUUCUUGGGGGACAGAGGAAAGACCGGUCCUCCAAGAGUAAGGAGUGAAUGCUUCUCGAGCAAGUAACCUUCGUUUUCGGAUUUGUACAUGGAUUCAAUCUUUCUUUUUUUUUCUUUUUAACACUCAUCAUCCUCUCCAUGGCAUGUAGGGAAAAUGUUUAUAGCAAU
This 467-nucleotide long non-coding RNA is filed under the name Carica papaya (papaya). RNAcentral's name for it is "long non-coding RNA (CPAP_LNC004706)". The record is from RNAcentral. Lineage: Eukaryota; Viridiplantae; Streptophyta; Magnoliopsida; Brassicales; Caricaceae.